AAUGGUAAUACGAACUUUGUAACACGUAAUAAUUUCUUAGAAAUUAUUUUAUCAUCCGAGAAAUUCCGUCUGUGACGUUGGGCAGGCGUAGGGUAUACUCUUUGUCCAAUUAUCCCUCUCAUAAGUUUUAAAACUUGUUACUUGGAAAAUUAAUUUUAUUCGACCAAUUCCUAAGUCUUCUUUCAAUUCAUCCAAUAUUGCAAAUUACUGACCUAUAUCCUUGCCUUCUCUUAUAGUUAAAAUGUUUGAGUU
Cinara cedri is the source of this 252-nucleotide non-coding RNA. NCBI's taxonomy places the organism in Eukaryota, Metazoa, Arthropoda, Insecta, Hemiptera, Aphididae. The record is from the annotation of a GenBank genome assembly.